RNA transcript from Magnolia sinica, 1922 nucleotides. It is a transcript of the gene named pentatricopeptide repeat-containing protein At1g07740, mitochondrial-like, with no coding region annotated. The transcript has 3 exons. The record is from RefSeq and is a predicted model, not a curated record. Lineage: Eukaryota; Viridiplantae; Streptophyta; Magnoliopsida; Magnoliales; Magnoliaceae.
GCCCUCCAAAAAUAAAUAAAAUUGCACUCCAUAUACUCUUUUUGGUCCAACUAGUUUUCUUUAGAUUCUGAAGAACCCCUCUGUAAAUCUAGCUUUGUGUUUACUCAGUUUGCCUUGUCAAUUAAAACUAUGUUAUCUGCAAACAACAUACACCAUGUGAUCACUUUUUGCAAAUGCCUUGUUUACUCAUCCAUACCCAAUGCAUAAAGAUACGGGCUUAAUGCCAACCCCUGGUGCAUGCCUACAGUAAUUGAGAACCCCUUUCUCUCCACUAAUGCUCUUCACAUUUGUUACUGCUCCUUACAUAUCGUGGUAUUGAACUUAUGAGCCACAAUAUGAAACUUUGGAAAAGAGUGGAGUAAAGACUAAGGUAUUGAGACGAAUGUAUCAGAAAAUCAAUUUGGUUUCCUGUUAGGGAGGUUUACCAUUGAAGCUGUCUUCCCACUUAGACAAUUGAUGGAGAAAUAUAGGCAAAGGAGGUAAGAUCUCCACAUGGUCUUUAUUGACGUAGAGAAAGCUUAUGAUAGGGCCCCCAUAGAGUUAAUAUGGUGGGUGCUGGGAAAGAAUGGAGUUUCAAGAGGAUAUGUUGACGUGAUUAACAAAUUGAUUUAUCAUCUAUCUAAAUCGGGAACCAUGAUUUGAACUAUGUAAUUAAUCUGCCUUUCAACCGUCACACUGCUAGAGUAUCAAAGUUUCUCUUAUUUUUGUUGAGGAGCAUGUAAUUCCUCUUGUAAUAUAGUGCUAAUGAGCCGCAUCGGGUUAUUUACUCACAUACACAGAUGAUUACUGAUACGUACCCAUCUACAAGCUAUUUUUGAAUGGAAGGGCAAAAGUAAAACUGUAACUGAGUAAAUAUUAUUAUCAGGUUUCCCUUGUUCAGUUUACUGGCUUUCUGCUGCCCUGCUACGUGAUGGCAUGUGCACUAGAUAUUUUACAGAUCCGGAGGAGGAGACAGGGCUAAAAGCCAUCGAAUCUCUACGGUUCUGCUCUUCCAGAUCACAGGCGAGCUUCAUGCGAUUAACGAACACAGGCUUUGAAUAUCAUGUUUUUCUGUAAGUUGUAUAUAAAAUCAAUGUGCCAAAACCGUCUUGGAGCUUCUCAUGUGAUUAAAUUGGCAUGUAGAUUCUUCUUAAGCUUUUACCCAAAAAGCAAAAAAGAAAAAAAAUUGUAAAUGUGGGAAUAGAUGAAAUGGUUAUUGGCUGUAAUUUCUCUAAAUCAUGGAAGUAGGCCAGGAAAAUCUUGCCUUUUAAAAUUUGCCUCGUGUUCGCAUCGAUACCUUUGCCCUUGUUCUUAGUUCUUAUGUUACAAAAAAUGCUGGCAAUCUGUAGGCCUGUCUGGUUGUCACGCAAAGAAGGAUUUCAUCUCAUUUUAGUCAACAGUAAUUAUGGAUUGGAGAUCAUAAUUUAUCGAAAUUAUUGGGCUAUUAAGAUAAUUUUUAAUCAAUGCUGAAAUCUCAAGCACAUAAUUACCGUUAACUAAAAUGAGAUGAGCUCAUUUUUAAGUGGCAACCAAACAGGGCCUUAGGUUUGUUUUAAGCUGCAGAUUCCACUCUUUUAUUUCAUAAAAGGCUUUUUAAGAUGUAUCUUUUGGAUUUGAUACAGUUUUUCGCUCAGUGCAGACUCUUUUGAUGGGGUGCAGCUUUUGGUUCACUCUCGUUGCCCAAGGGUUCAUCUUGUCAGACCAUCUUAGCUGGACCCUCAGAAUUUUGGCUGCAGAUUUCAAUCCAUUAAAAUUUGGGUUGGUUGUGGGUUGGGUCCAAGUCUAAAAAGCUGACCCAUUCAUUUGAUGGGUUGGGUCAGGGUGUAGGACCCGGAUACAACCAUUUCAUCUCAUGGGUUGGGCCUGGGCAAUGGGUUUUCAGAUAAAUAAUGUUCCAACAGAAUUACUCUUAAAUUUUGGCUUGGGUGUGGGUCGGAUUAAAA